AAACAAAACAAAACAAAACGAAAACAUAAUACCGAUUAUCAUUCACUAAUUAUGCGGCGUGGUUUCUUCUGGAAAAUAUAUAUACAACAAUCCUUCAAAUGCAUGUGGAUUGUGAGAGAUUAACAAACAUGGGCACCAAUUCAGAGAACAAAUAAAUAAAUGGUGCCCCAAGGUAAUAAAUCUUAUGGUUCAGAAAACGGGUACUGCAGUGAAAACUACAUAUUGCAGCAGUUCAUGCAAGUAUCCAACUAAUAUAAAACAUAAGCAUUGCAAGUAAAACUGCUCUCUCGAAGGCCUCAAUCUGUCAUUAGGCAUAGUGACAUUACAUUUAGCAUAGCAAAAAGUAUCCAACAACCAGUUUUGUUCAUACUACCAAGCUUUAAGGCUGCUUCCAUAACAAAUCUAAACAAUAAUUGGAAUGAUUCAAACCUACUAUGUCCAUUCCCACCCAUUGACACCUGAGCUGGGGCUUGGGCGAGCAAAUCCAAUAAAAACUCAUUGCAUAGCAAGAAAAUUCAUCACUUUGAAUAUAUACAAAUUAAAUAUGCUCGAAGGCAGCUUUAUAAGCAAGAAAAUAUGAUUUUAGAUGAUAUGAAGGCACCGUCUAACCUGGACACUUCAUUUGUUUGGUUUUUCUAGUGAAAUCUAUACUUUCUCUUUGGCAAUCCAUGCAGCAGAGCCAGACACAUGCUUAAAGCUACUGUGUCACUAGAACUUACAAGCUCAGAACAGCACCAAAAACCAACUCCAUUGAAGAUCAGCUUGAGUCUCCAAAAGCCUAUCACUUUAAGUCAAGGUAAUCAAACACAAAUAAAAAGCGUACAUGUAAAUGAUUCAGAGAAGCAAGUUCAAUCCAACCACUUCCUGCCUUUCUGAGGUGAAAUCAAGUUCAUGGAUGACCUAACAACCAGAAAUCCUACCUAGAAAAAUAAAAAAUCUCCACAUUUGGUAGACAAGACAAGGCAAUGAAAAUUGGCUCAUGUGCCUAGAAAAGGGAAAAAUUAGAAGCAGCACACAAUGUAAGAACCAAACUCUUGUAAACUCCUAAUUCCAAAUUUAAAUCUCCACCUAUGUCUAGCUUUUUUGAAGUGGCAGCAUGAUAUUGGAGUAAAACAAUUAUGUAUUGCCUCCCCCAUCCUCAAGAGAACAAAACAUAAAGAAAAAGAUACAGAAUUUCCAUAUCAGCAAGUGCUGAAAUCAGAUAUAUAAUUAUGAAGAAAACAAUCUCCAGAAAUAGCAAUUAAGAAUCUGCAAUGUUGAAGCUGUCUUUGAAACUGAAAAGCCAGUUUUGAAAUAAUUGAACCAGAUAUUCUAUAGUGGUAUCACUGCCAAAGUUCCGGAAGCAAAAGAUACUCCUCAUAAGUUGCAGUGAAGGUGUCACAACAAUCCUCUCGAUGAGGAGAUGCAUUUAGCUGAGAAAGAGGCUUUGGCAAAUUACAUUGAUUUGUCUAAUGCUAAAGAAAAAUUUAAAUGACAGAAAUCAAGAGCGCAGCGGCUUGCUUCAGGUGACAGUAACACUAAGCUUUUUCAUAAGAAAGUGGCUUCUCAUAUGAUGAGAAACAAAAUUCUCAACAUUUCUGAUGAGCAAGGCAAUAGAUUGGUGGAACGUAAAGCUAUCAAGGAGAAAGUUGUUAGCAAGGUUGUUAAAAUCGGGAUCCUAAGUAGGAUCGGUGAGAGGGUCUGGUAGAUCGGAUCGUAGGAUCGGAUCGAAAAUCGUAAGAUCUUACUUUCUAUUAAAAAAAAAGAUAAAAAUUAAAAUUACAAUGAUACAUAUUAAAAAUAAGGUGAAAAAUCAUAAAAUCUACGAUCCUACUUGCGAUCCUACCUACGAUCCUAUACGAUCCCAUACGAUCCUACACGAUCCCAUGCAAUCCUACACGAUCCUACUUGCGAUCCUGUUAUAACAUCGAUCCUACAACGAUCUGGAUCGUUUUGGCAAAGUAGGAUCGUACGAUCCUACAAUCCGGAUCGCGAUUUUAACAACCAUGGUUGUUAGAUUCUACAAAUACUUGCUUGGUACUCAAAAUCCCCUAGUGACGCCGGAGAAUAGUAUGCUAAAUAUUUUGAAUUUGGCAAAAGUACCAGGGCUUUUUAAGGUUGCCUUAAUUGCUCCAGUUUCUAACAAAGAAGUUAAAAAGGCAAUGUUUUCAAUUAUGGGAGAUAAAGCACCUGGCCCUGAUGGGUAUAAUACUUCUUUUUAUCACACAAAUUGGCAUGUUGUGGGUGGUGACGAUGUGUCCAAAGCUGUCCAAGCUUUCUUUACCAAUAGUUUUAUGCUUAAAGAAUGGAAUGCCACUACUGUAACUUUAACCCCCAAGACAUAUUGCCCAAACACAUUGAAGGAUUUCGGGCCCCCUAUAUCUUGUUGCAAUGUUCACUACAAAUGUAUUUAGAAAAAUCUGGUAAGCAGACUUGGUUCUGGGCAGUCUUAUUAGUUCACCAACCCAAUCUGCCUUUGUUAAAGGCAGGUCUAUUGCUGAUAGCAUUCUAUUGAUGCAAGAGUAAGAAACUAAUCAUGGAAAUGACUUCCCUGCCAGGUGUGCCAUAAAGAUAGGUAUCAUGAAGCAUAUGAUUCUGUCAGUAGGGAGUUUUUGUUGAAAAUUAUGGCCGCCAUGGAUUUCCCAGUUAAAUUCAUCAAUUGGAUUUUUCAAUGUGUAACUACUGCUAGCUACUAUUUUGUUGUGAAUGGGGAGUUGGCGGGGUUACUUCAAGGGACAGAAAGGGUGAAGGCAAUGGGAUCUAUUUCCCCUUGUCUUUUUCUUAUAGUAACGGAAGGUCUUUUUGGUCUCUUAAACUACAUAAUGUCAGCUAUGGCAGUUCUCAUACCACCCUAAAUGUCAAGCUUUGAACGUCACAAAAAUAUAUCCUUUGCAGAUAAUCUCUCUGUGGUUUGUGAUGCAGAUAACAAGUCUUUUAGCCUUAUCAAGGCCACUCUGGAUCAAUAUCACCUCUUGUCAGGACUCCAACCAAAUCUUCAUGAAAGUGCAAUUUUUAUUUUUAUUUAUAUUUUUUUUCAGAAGUCUCUCCAAUUUUGAAUAAUGAACCAUUAUUAAUCUGACCAAUUCCUGAAGGGAAGCUUCCAGUGAGAUAUUUAGGGGUCCCUCUUAUAUCUACAAGGCUGAAAUAUGAAGAUUGUAUCCAGUUGAAGGACAAAAUAUAUGCUAGAAUUCAAUCCUGGGUGAAUAAGUUGCUAUCUUAUAGGGGGAGGGUUCAGUUAAUGCAAUCAGUGUUGUAUAGUGUACAAAUCUAUUGGAACUCUCUUUUUAUCCUUUCCCAGAGAAUCUUUAAAAAAUAGAAAGCAUGCUUAGAGCUUUUCUAUGGACUGGGUCAGAUUUGAAGCAAACAGGUGCUAAACUUCAGUGGGCUAAACAUAAGUGCACCCAACUAAGAAGGGGGAGUGGGUUUCAGCAAGCAUAAUUUUGGAAUAGAGCUAAUAUGUUGAAACACCUAUGGUCCACCUGUAAGAAAGUUAACUCUCUUCGGAUCAAGUGAAUGCAUACAUACAUAAUAAAUGGCCAAUGCUUCUGGUCUAUAUUAGACCCUCCUACUGAUACAUCUGUACUACAAGACAAUUUUCCAAGCUCAGAACGAUUGGACAGCAAUUUAUUAAGCACAAAAUAGGUAAUGGAAGAUCUACUUUUUCAUGGCUUGACAAUUGGCAUCCUAUAAACCCUCUCUAUCAACAGUUUUGGGAUAGCAUUGUACAAAACCUUGGCAGAGCUCUGGAUGCUAAGGUUACUGAAAUAGUUAAUGUUGACGGAUGGGAAUGACCUAGAAUGAGGAAUAGAGGUAUUCAACAAGUCAUUACACCAUAACUCUUCCAAACUUUCUGCCAAAUCUAACAAGAAAUGAUGAGAUUGUAUGGCUGCCUUCAAUCAGUGGUACCUAUUCCUCUGAAUCUGCUUGGGAGGCCCUUAGAUCAGUGAAGAAGGAAGUCACUUAGUAUCAUGUAGUCUGGUUUAAAGGGUAUGUUCCUAAAUGGGCAUUUAUCCAUUGGCUUAUCUGCUGGCAGCGGUUAAUAACUAAAGAUAAAAAUGGGGCAUGCAUGUUGAUCCUAAAUGCAGUUUAUGUAGUGUUGUGGAUGAGAGUCAUGAACAUCAUUUCUUCCCAUGUCCUUUUUCCAAAGACCUUUGGAGUAAAAUGCUUCAAGUGAAUCAUAUUAAUAGAGAUCAUAUAGGCUGGUCAGGCGAGCUUCAAUGGGUUAUCUCUCAAGCAAAUAGUAGGAAUUUGAGUAAUGUCAUAACCAAACUUUCUCUAGUUUGUACUUUGUAUCAUAUAUUGUUAGAAAGGAACAACAAAGUCUUCAACUAAACACCAGGAUCUGAUUCUGCAUGAAAUAAUGAGGGAUAUACGAGCCAGAACCUAUUCUCUAAAGGGGAUUAAAAGUAAUAUGCAGAAUUGGCAAGUCUGUAUGGAUUGGGGGAUCCCUUCCUCUAUCCUGCAAAGCUAAAAUAGUCUUAGUUUUUGUUUUUUCCUUAGUGUUGUGCAAUGGAUCACCCUUUUUUUAAUUACUAGUCAAAACCCAUGUAACGGGUACAAAACUCUUAAAAUUUCAGGUAUACUUAUAUGGGAAGCAACAUACAACUGCUGCCAUCGUGCAUCCUACUCUGCCAUAAUAAUGUACUUGUGUGUGUCAAUGGAUUUGUGUUUGCCAGUGUUGUCAGACGUAUCGUCUAUCGUUAUAUCUCUUUUAUGUAUUAUGUAUCGUAUCAUAUUGUGUAUCGUAAGUUACACUAACAUAUAUAAAUAUAGAUAAAAAAAUAAGUAUUUUCAUAUCAUCAUAUAAAUAUAUUGCAAAAAUAAACUACUAAAUCAUAUAACCAAUGACCAAAUUGGUCAAAAAGGUAUAUAUAAAUUUAAUCAAAUUAGAUUCAUGACAGUACUUUAAUUUCUUCUAGCAAAAAGAGUAUUAGAGUCAUUUUUUCUUGUGAGUUUAUUUGAAGUUGGGUCUCCUUUGUAUGGGAAUUUUUUGAUAAUACAGUUUAUUCAAUGAGUGUCAUCUAUGGUGAUUGAUGGUGAGAAAGUAGCCAAUGAGGCCAAAGGUGAACAAGAAUGUAAAACUUAUUUAAUCGUGCGAUACAAGUUGAAUCGCGAUAACAUACAAAAUCCUGCGAUAUAGAAACAUAUCUCAUGAUUCAAGUCACCAAUGAUACAAGUCUGUGAUUUGUAUCUUUUUUCCUACAAUAUGAUUAUCGUAUGAUUUUGGCAACACUGGUGCCUGUGUGUGACUCUGUGUGUGUGUGUGUGUAAGAGAGAGAGAGAGAGAGAGAGAGAGAGAGAGAUCUUGCAGUAAAAUUAUAAAAACAGAAGUCAUAUUCAAUGAUGACGGGACAUUAUAGACCCCUACAUAAGUUCUGAAAAAAUAUUAUAUGAACAAUUUCCUCAGAAAGACACAUUAAAUACAUUUAACAGAUCAUAAAUGCGGAAGAU
This is a non-coding RNA of Camellia sinensis, 5430 nucleotides long. The record is from RefSeq and is a predicted model, not a curated record. Lineage: Eukaryota; Viridiplantae; Streptophyta; Magnoliopsida; Ericales; Theaceae.